Molecule: long non-coding RNA, 524 nt
Organism: Spinacia oleracea (spinach)
Lineage: Eukaryota; Viridiplantae; Streptophyta; Magnoliopsida; Caryophyllales; Amaranthaceae
Exons: 5
Source: RefSeq, a predicted model, not a curated record
AGAACCCAAGCAAACCCCCUUCACUAUUCACGUAACAAGGAACAAGAACCCUCAAGAACUCCUUCUCCCUCACGUUGCCGUCCUCCUUCUUUCCUCCCUUCACGCCGUUGCUUCUGCCAGCCGCACCAACUCGUCGCCGCCGCAGCUCCGCGAGUAUUUCCUCGCCGCCAGCCCAGCAGCCGCGAAAGCUCCACCGUCGUCCACCGCACGCCACCACCACCGUGUGCCGCCGUCCUUGCUCGCAGCCACCCUUGCGACCACCUGCCGCCGCAACUCAGUCCGCCGGCUGCCCAAACCCUCCUCUUUACUUGGUUGUUUUAGGCGAAGAAUUCUCUUUAGGCGACUUUUGAAAGUGUUAAAGUGGCCUAUCAGUUUGUUUACACAAGUCUCUAAGGAUCAAUAAGCGUUGUCCAUCUACAGGUUUGAAGACGAUGCAUCAUUGGGAUCGGGAUUAGAGAGCUUGUAUUAUUUUGUUUUGCUAUGUGUUUUGGUUUUGUUAAUUUGGACUUUAAACUUGUCGUACU